RNAcentral lists this ribosomal RNA (521 nucleotides) under Salmonella enterica. RNAcentral describes it as "partial 23S ribosomal RNA". It matches the Rfam family "Bacterial large subunit ribosomal RNA", at positions 711 to 1225 of the family's 2925-position model. The record is from RNAcentral. Lineage: Bacteria; Pseudomonadati; Pseudomonadota; Gammaproteobacteria; Enterobacterales; Enterobacteriaceae.
AGACCCGAAACCCGGUGAUCUAGCCAUGGGCAGGUUGAAGGUUGGGUAACACUAACUGGAGGACCGAACCGACUAAUGUUGAAAAAUUAGCGGAUGACCUGUGGCUGGGGGUGAAAGGCCAAUCAAACCGGGAGAUAGCUGGUUCUCCCCGAAAGCUAUUUAGGUAGCGCCUCGUGAAUUCAUCUCCGGGGGUAGAGCACUGUUUCGGCUAGGGGGCCAUCCCGGCUUACCAACCCGAUGCAAACUGCGAAUACCGGAGAAUGUUAUCACGGGAGACACACGGCGGGUGCUAACGUCCGUCGUGAAGAGGGAAACAACCCAGACCGCCAGCUAAGGUCCCAAAGUCAUGGUUAAGUGGGAAACGAUGUGGGAAGGCCCAGACAGCCAGGAUGUUGGCUUAGAAGCAGCCAUCAUUUAAAGAAAGCGUAAUAGCUCACUGGUCGAGUCGGCCUGCGCGGAAGAUGUAACGGGGCUAAACCAUGCACCGAAGCUGCGGCAGCGAACGUAUCACUUAAAGCGAU